CCUACGGGUGGCUGCAGUGGGGAAUAUUGGACAAUGGGGGCAACCCUGAUCCAGCCAUGCCGCGUGUGUGAAGAAGGCCCUCGGGUUGUAAAGCACUUUCAGUGAGGAAGAACGCCUGGUGGUUAAUACCCAUCAGGAAAGACAUCACUCACAGAAGAAGCACCGGCUAACUCCGUGCCAGCAGCCGCGGUAAUACGGAGGGUGCGAGCGUUAAUCGGAAUUACUGGGCGUAAAGCGCGCGUAGGUGGCUUGAUAAGCCGGUUGUGAAAGCCCCGGGCUCAACCUGGGAACGGCAUCCGGAACUGUCAAGCUAGAGUGCAGGAGAGGAAGGUAGAAUUCCCGGUGUAGCGGUGAAAUGCGUAGAGAUCGGGAGGAAUACCAGUGGCGAAGGCGGCCUUCUGGACUGACACUGACACUGAGGUGCGAAAGCGUGGGUAGCAAACAGGAUUAAUACCCUAGUAGUC
Molecule: ribosomal RNA, 464 nt
Filed under: Vreelandella stevensii
Lineage: Bacteria; Pseudomonadati; Pseudomonadota; Gammaproteobacteria; Oceanospirillales; Halomonadaceae
Description: partial 16S ribosomal RNA
Rfam family: Bacterial small subunit ribosomal RNA
Source: RNAcentral